GUGCCAGCCGCCGCGGUAAUACCGGCAGCCCAAGUGAUGUCCCAUAUUAUUGGGCCUAAAGCGUCCGUAGCUGGCCGACCAAGUCUCCCGGGAAAUCCACCUGCCCAACAGGUGGGCGUCCGGCGGAAACUGUGUGGCUUGGAACCGGAAGGCUCAGAGGGUACGUCCGGGGUAGGAGUGAAAUCCCGUAAUCCCGGGCGGACCACCGAUGGCGAAAGCACUCUGAGAAGACGGCUACGACAGUGAGGGACGAAAGCUCGGGUCUCAAACCGGAUUAGAAACCCCUGUAGUCC
RNAcentral lists this ribosomal RNA (293 nucleotides) under uncultured bacterium. Its description in RNAcentral is "partial 16S ribosomal RNA". It matches the Rfam family "Archaeal small subunit ribosomal RNA", at positions 455 to 747 of the family's 1478-position model. The record is from RNAcentral.